GGCUGGCGGAGCUUACCAUGCAGUCGAGCGGUAACAGGGGUAGCUUGCUACCCGCUGACGAGCGGCGGACGGGUGAGUAAUGCAUAGGAAACUGCCCAGUAGUGGGGGAUAGCCCGGGGAAACCCGGAUUAAUACCGCAUACGUCCUUCGGGAGAAAGCAGGGGAUCUUCGGACCUUGCGCUAUUGGAUGUGCCUAUGUCGGAUUAGCUGGUUGGUGAGGUAAUGGCUCACCAAGGCGACGAUCCGUAGCUGGUCUGAGAGGAUGAUCAGCCACAUCGGGACUGAGACACGGCCCGAACUCCUACGGGAGGCAGCAGUGGGGAAUAUUGGACAAUGGGGGCAACCCUGAUCCAGCCAUGCCGCGUGUGUGAAGAAGGCUUUCGGGUUGUAAAGCACUUUCAGUGAGGAGGAAAAGUUAGUCCUUAAUACGGGCUAGCCUUGACGUUACUCACAGAAGAAGCACCGGCUAACUCCGUGCCAGCAGCCGCGGUAAUACGGAGGGUGCAAGCGUUAAUCGGAAUUACUGGGCGUAAAGCGCGCGUAGGUGGUUUGAUAAGCGAGAUGUGAAAGCCCCGGGCUUAACCUGGGAACGGCAUUUCGAACUGUCAGGCUAGAGUGUGGUAGAGGGUAGUGGAAUUUCCUGUGUAGCGGUGAAAUGCGUAGAUAUAGGAAGGAACACCAGUGGCGAAGGCGGCUACCUGGACCAACACUGACACUGAGGUGCGAAAGCGUGGGGAGCAAACAGGAUUAGAUACCUGGGUAGUC
This 765-nucleotide ribosomal RNA is filed under the name Marinobacter sp. Its description in RNAcentral is "bacterial SSU rRNA". It matches the Rfam family "Bacterial small subunit ribosomal RNA", at positions 34 to 795 of the family's 1533-position model. Lineage: Bacteria; Pseudomonadati; Pseudomonadota; Gammaproteobacteria; Pseudomonadales; Marinobacteraceae. The record is from RNAcentral.